ACCGGAGUGGCGAAAUUGGGAGACGCGCCUGGUUUAAGCCCAGGUGUCCGCAAGGAUGUGCGGGUUCAACCCCCGCCUCCGGUA
Molecule: transfer RNA, 84 nt
Filed under: bacterium
Lineage: Bacteria
Description: tRNA-Leu
Rfam family: tRNA
About the family: Transfer RNA (tRNA) molecules are approximately 80 nucleotides in length. Their secondary structure includes four short double-helical elements and three loops (D, anti-codon, and T loops).
Source: RNAcentral